AGGAGGCUCUUUGACCUGGAGGGUGAUCGCUCACGGAGUAUCACCCCAGGUAGUGGUGCUGAUGAUCCACUACCAUCUCCGGAUGCAGAUGCUGGAUAUUCAUCACCCGGCCCCUCUGAUGCAGCACCAGAACCAUCCCCCGACGCAGCACCAGAACCAUCCCCCGACGCAGGUGCUACUUGGACCCCGACAUAUCCAUCA
This is a long non-coding RNA of Asparagus officinalis (garden asparagus), 201 nucleotides long. RefSeq lists it as uncharacterized. The transcript has 3 exons. The record is from RefSeq and is a predicted model, not a curated record. NCBI's taxonomy places the organism in Eukaryota, Viridiplantae, Streptophyta, Magnoliopsida, Asparagales, Asparagaceae.